GGUGAACGCUGGCGGUAGGCCUAACACAUGCAAGUCGAACGGCAGCACAGUAAGAGCUUGCUCUUACGGGUGGCGAGUGGCGGACGGGUGAGGAAUACAUCGGAAUCUACUUUUUCGUGGGGGAUAACGUAGGGAAACUUACGCUAAUACCGCAUACGACCUACGGGUGAAAGCAGGGGAUCUUCGGACCUUGCGCGAUUGAAUGAGCCGAUGUCGGAUUAGCUAGUUGGCGGGGUAAAGGCCCACCAAGGCGACGAUCCGUAGCUGGUCUGAGAGGAUGAUCAGCCACACUGGAACUGAGACACGGUCCAGACUCCUACGGGAGGCAGCAGUGGGGAAUAUUGGACAAUGGGCGCAAGCCUGAUCCAGCCAUACCGCGUGGGUGAAGAAGGCCUUCGGGUUGUAAAGCCCUUUUGUUGGGAAAGAAAAGCAGCUGGUUAAUACCCCGCUGUUCUGACGGUACCCAAAGAAUAAGCACCGGCUAACUUCGUG
RNAcentral lists this ribosomal RNA (492 nucleotides) under uncultured bacterium. RNAcentral's name for it is "partial 16S ribosomal RNA". It matches the Rfam family "Bacterial small subunit ribosomal RNA", at positions 28 to 507 of the family's 1533-position model. The record is from RNAcentral.